GUCAUUAAUAACAUUUCAGUAAUUUAAACAAAUAACUUACAAUUAUUUUUAAAAUUCUAAAAAAAAUGUAACAUUUGUUCGACCAUGUUAUCAAUAGUGUAUCCACAGGUAGCAGACGACAAUAAAAAGUGGAAAUUUGCGACUUCCGGUGUGUCUGCUACUCGAUGUUGUGAUCUCAGUUACUUCCCCUGACGUUCAGUAUAUGAAAUGAGGGUCGAGUUUCAGGAUUUGAAAUUAAGAAAGGACGAAAGAUAUAAAAUGAGCAUCGGCAACAUGAUCUUGGCAUGUUACAUCCUUAUCACAGAAGUGGAACCUACUGAUUAUGAUGAGGUGUAUCGGGGAUCAAUACGGAACAUGGUAAAUUGAGCAGGUGAAGGAAUGAAGAAAACACAACCCUCUUUACAGUCAGCAAAAUAACUAUACUUCCGGUUUGGAACUACUGCAUGCCGUUACAACAUAUGUGACAAAGAGAUUUUAAUCCACCUGAUACGAUUUGGUAUCUUUCUGAAAAUAUCAUGUUCAAAUUCUGAAUGGUGUUUUUUUCUGCCAAGUUUAAGAAAUAUAUUACCAUGUAACUGUAUAAUAUUUAUGGCAAUUAUGAAGUAAUAGUGAGUUUUUGGCGUAGUAAUAAAAACCAUGAAAGGUGUUACCUCGAUUGGAUUUUCUACAUGAGCUUGAAAAAUAACACCUUCAUAAAUGCCUUGAUGUGAACAUAAUGGCAGGGAUAUUUUAUUUGCUUUUUACAUUGUACAUCUUCUAUUUAACAUACUGUACCGUCUAUGAAUUGAAAUUGCAAUAAUGAGUAUAAUUGCAAUAAUGAAUAAUGCACUUUUUUGCAAAGUAUAUUUCAAGUGGUGUAAUAAGUAAAAUUUGAUCAGGAAUGCACAUUUAUUAAGACUUAAUAUAUAUGCAAACAUACUGUACCGUUAACAUAAUAGCAAUAGUAAAAUUGCAGAAAUGAAUGAUGCGCAUUUUUUACAAUGUAUAUUUCAAAAAGUGUAAUAAGUAACAUUUAAUAGUUAAUAAAGACAUACUAGGCCGUACAAUGAGAAAUAAUGAUAAUUUAACAACGUCAUGAUAGAAACAUCCUUUUUGAAAUUUCUUAACAUUUAGAUAAUAAUAACACCACCAAGAAUAUCACCACUACCACCAAAAAACAACAU
This is a long non-coding RNA of Ruditapes philippinarum (Manila clam), 1163 nucleotides long. RefSeq lists it as uncharacterized. The transcript is spliced from 3 exons. NCBI's taxonomy places the organism in Eukaryota, Metazoa, Mollusca, Bivalvia, Venerida, Veneridae. The record is from RefSeq and is a predicted model, not a curated record.